UGGCUCAUNACAUCUGUCACCCCAUUGAUCGCCAGGGUUGAUUUGGCUGAGCUGGCUGGCUAGGCAGGUGUCCCCUUCCUCCCUCACCGCUCCAUGUGCGUCCCUCCCGAAGCUGCACGCUCGGUCAAAGAGGACGACCAUCCCUGAUAGAGGAGGGCCAGUCUUCCGUCAAGGGUAUACUAGUAGCUGCGUUCCCCUGCUAGAACCUCCAAACAAGCUCUCAAG
Molecule: long non-coding RNA, 225 nt
Filed under: Cervus elaphus hippelaphus
Lineage: Eukaryota; Metazoa; Chordata; Mammalia; Artiodactyla; Cervidae
Rfam family: 7SK RNA
About the family: 7SK was discovered as an abundant small nuclear RNA in the mid-70s but a possible function has only recently been suggested. Two independent studies have found that 7SK RNA binds the CDK9/cyclin T complex (known as elongation factor P-TEFb). P-TEFb activates transcription by phosphorylating the C-terminal domain of RNA polymerase II.
Source: RNAcentral